CCUACGGGCGGCUGCAGUGGGGAAUAUUGGACAAUGGGCGAAAGCCUGAUCCAGCCAUGCCGCGUGUGUGAAGAAGGCCUUCGGGUUGUAAAGCACUUUCAGUGGGGAAGAAAGCCUUGGGGCUAAUACCCUCGAGGAAGGACAUCACCCACAGAAGAAGCACCGGCUAACUCCGUGCCAGCAGCCGCGGUAAUACGGAGGGUGCGAGCGUUAAUCGGAAUUACUGGGCGUAAAGCGCGCGUAGGCGGUCUGAUAAGCCGGUUGUGAAAGCCCCGGGCUCAACCUGGGAACGGCAUCCGGAACUGUCAGGCUAGAGUGCAGGAGAGGAAGGUAAAAUUCCCGGUUUAGGGGUGAAAUGCGUAGAGAUCGGGAGGAAUACCAGUGGCGAAGGCGGCCUUCUGGACUGACACUGACGCUGAGGUGCGAAAGCGUGGGUAGCAAACAGGAUUAGAAACCCCGGUAUC
Molecule: ribosomal RNA, 464 nt
Filed under: Vreelandella stevensii
Lineage: Bacteria; Pseudomonadati; Pseudomonadota; Gammaproteobacteria; Oceanospirillales; Halomonadaceae
Description: partial 16S ribosomal RNA
Rfam family: Bacterial small subunit ribosomal RNA
Source: RNAcentral